Molecule: unclassified non-coding RNA, 261 nt
Filed under: uncultured Russula
Lineage: Eukaryota; Fungi; Basidiomycota; Agaricomycetes; Russulales; Russulaceae
Description: sequence contains ITS2
Source: RNAcentral
AAUCAUCAAAAAUCUUUUUCUUUGAAAAGGAUUUUUGGACUUGGAGGUUUCAUGCUUGCUUUUGCCUUUGAAAGCGAGCUCCUCUGAAAUAAAUUAGUGGGGUCCGCUUUGCUGAUCCUUAAUGUGAUAAGAUGUUUCUACAUUUUGGAUUUAGCACUGUCCCUUGGACGCCUGCUCCUAACUAGUUGUCCCUUGGACAAUGAUGGUGCUCCUGGUCACCGCCAUCCACAUUGGCGGGAGGCUGGACCCACAAAAGAAAAA